This 676-nucleotide ribosomal RNA is filed under the name uncultured bacterium. RNAcentral describes it as "bacterial SSU rRNA". It matches the Rfam family "Bacterial small subunit ribosomal RNA", at positions 377 to 1047 of the family's 1533-position model. The record is from RNAcentral.
CCAACCCUGAUGCAGCGACCCCCGCGUGGGGAUGACGCCCUUCGGGUUUUUAAACUUCUUUCAUUAUCGGCGAAGCUCCAGAUUUUUCUUGGGUGCCCGGUAGGUACAGAAGAAGCACCGCCCAAUUACGUGCCAGCAGCCGCGGUAAUACGUAGGGUGCGAGCGUUGUCCGGAAUUACUGGGCGUAAAGAGCUCGUAGGUGGUUUUGUCAACGUUGUCCGUGAAAACUAACAGCUUAACUGUGGGCGUGCGGGCGAUACGGUCAGACUGGAGUACUGUAGGGGAGACUGAAUUCCUGGUGUAGCGGUGGAAUGCGCAGAUAUCAGGAGGAACACCGGUGGCGAAGGCGGGUCUCUGGGCAGUAACUGACGCUGAGGAGCGAAAGCGUGGGGAGCGAACAGGAUUAGAUACCCUGGUAGUCCACGCCGUAAACGGUGGGUACUAGGUGUGGGUUUCCUUCCUUUAGGGAUCCGUGCCGUAGCUAACGCAUUAAGUACCCCGCCUGGGGAGUACGGCCGCAAGGCUAAAACUCAAAGGAAUUGACGGGGGCCCGCACAAGCGGCGGAGCAUGUGGAUUAAUUCGAUGCAACGCGAAGAACCUUACCUGGGUUUGACAUGCACAGGACGCCGGUAGAGAUAUCGGUUCCCUUGUGGCCCUGAAGACAGGUGUAAAGAG